AGUAAAUAUUGACUAUUAUCUUGUUAUAAAAGAUUUGUUGAACCUCUGUAGUCACAGAUCAAUAUUUGUGUUCGAGCGAUACGCAAUUAUAGCCAUGAACAAAAUUACUUUCGUUUUGCUGCUGGUCGCUUUGUUCGCGAUUACGAAGGCGCAUCCUCAAGGAGUGAACGUCGUUGAUCACGCGGGAGGCGGUGGAGUGAGCGUCGUUGAUAACAACCCAGGCUACGUACAUGUAGUAGACGGAGAACAUCAAGUUAAUGUCGUGGACAAGCCAGCAGGACCUCCGAACGGAGCAAGAGGUGGAGGCAACUGAACAGAAGAACCAGAUGACUUCUAUUCUAAUA
Long non-coding RNA from Cydia splendana, 344 nucleotides. RefSeq lists it as uncharacterized. Lineage: Eukaryota; Metazoa; Arthropoda; Insecta; Lepidoptera; Tortricidae. The record is from RefSeq and is a predicted model, not a curated record. The transcript has 7 exons.